RNAcentral lists this transfer RNA (77 nucleotides) under Nitrosopumilales archaeon. RNAcentral's name for it is "tRNA-Pro". It matches the Rfam family "tRNA". Rfam says of the family: Transfer RNA (tRNA) molecules are approximately 80 nucleotides in length. Their secondary structure includes four short double-helical elements and three loops (D, anti-codon, and T loops). Lineage: Archaea; Thermoproteati; Nitrososphaerota; Nitrososphaeria; Nitrosopumilales. RNAcentral also lists the same sequence under 3 other names. The record is from RNAcentral.
GGGAUUGUGGUCUAGCUUGGUAUGAUUCUAGCCUUGGGCGCUAGAGGUCGUAGGUUCAAAUCCUGCCAAUCCCACCA